Molecule: transfer RNA, 69 nt
Filed under: Sphaerodactylus townsendi
Lineage: Eukaryota; Metazoa; Chordata; Lepidosauria; Squamata; Sphaerodactylidae
Description: tRNA-Ile
Rfam family: tRNA
About the family: Transfer RNA (tRNA) molecules are approximately 80 nucleotides in length. Their secondary structure includes four short double-helical elements and three loops (D, anti-codon, and T loops).
Source: RNAcentral
GUUGUGACUCAGUUGUAGAACAUCUGCUUUAUGUGCAGAAAGUCCCAGGUUCAGUACCUGGCAGCUACA